Molecule: non-coding RNA, 45 nt
Filed under: Streptomyces griseus
Lineage: Bacteria; Bacillati; Actinomycetota; Actinomycetes; Kitasatosporales; Streptomycetaceae
Source: RNAcentral
GCCAAUUCCAAGCGCGAUUCCUCCGCCUUCGCCCUCGCUGCCUAA